Long non-coding RNA from Drosophila sechellia, 571 nucleotides. RefSeq lists it as uncharacterized. Lineage: Eukaryota; Metazoa; Arthropoda; Insecta; Diptera; Drosophilidae. The transcript has 2 exons. The record is from RefSeq and is a predicted model, not a curated record.
CCCCUCUCCUUUUCUUUUUAGAAUUUGAUUCAAAAAUCUACAAUAUUCUAUAGAAAAAAGGAAAAUGGCUUCGAUCAAUCCAUUUUUUGAAUUUGUGGCUACAUACCGUAGAAAACAUCGAGCCCUAAAACAACAACGCGUAAUCGUAUCAAAAGCAGCGGUUUCGUGGAAGGCUUUAUCAAAAUCUCAAAAAAAUCGCUACCGCAAAAAGGCGAGCGAUGAACGCCAUCGGCGUCGUAGAAAUGCUGAUAAGAAAGCCAGGAAAAACCGAUAAUGGCAGUGAUGCCAACGAUGCCGUGCUCUACGCUACCGUUGGCCCCGAAAGAGUAGAGAUUUGAAGCUCAAUUCUGCCUGCUUUUCAAAAUUCACAGCUUUGCAUUCGUUAUACCAAAUUAGCAUUUUAUGCACUGCUUUUGUUUUUAUUGGUUUCGAAAUUAUCAUCCUCUGUCUUUUUAGUAAACAAAAUAAUCAGUUUUUUGUCAGAACAUUCCAAAUAAAGGUUCAAAUAUAGAAUGCCAUACCUCGUUGAGCUCGUAACAAAAUGUCCAAUAAAACGGUGUUAAAAACUGGA